GAUGAACGCUAGCGGCAGGCUUAAUACAUGCAAGUCGUGGGGCAGCAUGAGUAGCAAUACUUGAUGGCGACCGGCAAACGGGUGCGGAACACGUACACAACCUUCCGAUAAGUGGGGAAUAGCCCAGAGAAAUUUGGAUUAAUACCCCGUAACAUAUAGAGUAGGCAUCUUCUUUAUAUUAUAGCUUCGGCGCUUAUUGAUGGGUGUGCGUCUGAUUAGGUAGUUGGCGGGGUAACGGCCCACCAAGCCUACGAUCAGUAGCUGAUGUGAGAGCAUGAUCAGCCACACGGGCACUGAGUCACGGGCCCGACUCCUACGGGAGGCAGCAGUAAGGAAUAUUGGACAAUGGGCGAAAGCCUGAUCCAGCCAUGCCGCGUGAAGGAUUAAGGUCCUCUGGAUUGUAAACUUCUUUUAUUUGUGACGAAAAAAGGGAAUUCUUUCCCACUUGACGGUACCAAGUGAAUAAGCACCGGCUAACUCCGUGCCAGCCGCCGCCGUAA
Molecule: ribosomal RNA, 500 nt
Filed under: uncultured bacterium
Lineage: Bacteria
Description: partial 16S ribosomal RNA
Rfam family: Bacterial small subunit ribosomal RNA
Source: RNAcentral